This 878-nucleotide ribosomal RNA is filed under the name Salmonella enterica subsp. enterica serovar Oranienburg. RNAcentral describes it as "bacterial LSU rRNA". It matches the Rfam family "Bacterial large subunit ribosomal RNA", at positions 329 to 1211 of the family's 2925-position model. Lineage: Bacteria; Pseudomonadati; Pseudomonadota; Gammaproteobacteria; Enterobacterales; Enterobacteriaceae. The record is from RNAcentral.
UUAGUGGAAGCGUCUGGAAAGGCGCGCGAUACAGGGUGACAGCCCCGUACACAAAAGCGCAUGUGCUGUGAGCUCGAUGAGUAGGGCGGGACACGUGGUAUCCUGUCUGAAUAUGGGGGGACCAUCCUCCAAGGCUAAAUACUCCUGACUGACCGAUAGUGAACCAGUACCGUGAGGGAAAGGCGAAAAGAACCCCGGCGAGGGGAGUGAAAAAGAACCUGAAACCGUGUACGUACAAGCAGUGGGAGCACCCUUUGGGGUGUGACUGCGUACCUUUUGUAUAAUGGGUCAGCGACUUAUAUUCUGUAGCAAGGUUAACCGUAUAGGGGAGCCGGAGGGAAACCGAGUCUUAACCGGGCGUUAAGUUGCAGGGUAUAGACCCGAAACCCGGUGAUCUAGCCAUGGGCAGGUUGAAGGUUGGGUAACACUAACUGGAGGACCGAACCGACUAAUGUUGAAAAAUUAGCGGAUGACCUGUGGCUGGGGGUGAAAGGCCAAUCAAACCGGGAGAUAGCUGGUUCUCCCCGAAAGCUAUUUAGGUAGCGCCUCGUGAAUUCAUCUCCGGGGGUAGAGCACUGUUUCGGCUAGGGGGCCAUCCCGGCUUACCAACCCGAUGCAAACUGCGAAUACCGGAGAAUGUUAUCACGGGAGACACACGGCGGGUGCUAACGUCCGUCGUGAAGAGGGAAACAACCCAGACCGCCAGCUAAGGUCCCAAAGUCAUGGUUAAGUGGGAAACGAUGUGGGAAGGCCCAGACAGCCAGGAUGUUGGCUUAGAAGCAGCCAUCAUUUAAAGAAAGCGUAAUAGCUCACUGGUCGAGUCGGCCUGCGCGGAAGAUGUAACGGGGCUAAACCAUGCACCGAAGCUGCGGCAGCGA